Molecule: long non-coding RNA, 671 nt
Organism: Hippocampus comes (tiger tail seahorse)
Lineage: Eukaryota; Metazoa; Chordata; Actinopteri; Syngnathiformes; Syngnathidae
Exons: 3
Source: RefSeq, a predicted model, not a curated record
UGAAUGACUGUCUGUGUCUUAUGUGUUGUGUUGUAUUAUUUUGUUUUGUUAUUAUGACUUGAAGAUGGCGCCGUGAGAUUGGCUGCCUUUACAGCAGCUCCUAUACUUUUUAUUCUUCUACUUUCUUCCUUUCAUAACUUUGCUGUUGUAAAUUGGGAAUUUCUCCAUUGUGAGACGACUAAAGGUAGGCCAAAGAUGGAGAAAUUUUCGGAUGCACACAUCCACGCGAGCAGCGAUUUUCCACAAUGAACAAUGUUAAAAACAAUCACCGCUCACGCAUCACAGACGACAGCUUCGAGUCGGUCCUGCGUAAAGAUGAAGGUCAAGGUUCCGCUGCACCCUCCAAGCCAAAAGAAUGACGGCUCACGGCAUUUUUGUUUGCUACAAGUUCAGCUCUAGAGGUUUGCUCUCAGUCCAGCUUUUUGAAUCAUUUGAAAGAUACUUUUAACUCUGCAAUUUGUAUUGUUUUUUUGUUGUUGUUAAGAGUUUAAAAUGUGCUAAUUUUUACAGUGCACUCGAUUUGGUUCAUAAUCCAAUGCGUGAUGUAUUUUUAUCUACAUUCAGAAGAGGCCUGAUCCCUAGCUAAAGAUAUCGGAGCCAUGAGUUUGUUUCUACUUCCGCUGUCAGGACGCAUAUCCAAAUUGUGCUACAUAUGAGUAAAAAAAUUGGAA